UACAGAGGUCCCAAGCGUUGUUCGGAUUCACUGGGCGUAAAGGGUGCGUAGGCGGUCGGGUAAGUCUGACGUGAAAUCUUCAAGCUCAACUUGGAAACUGCGUCCGAUACUAUUCGGCUAGAGGAAUGGAGGGGAGACUGGAAUACUUGGUGUAGCAGUGAAAUGCGUAGAUAUCAAGUGGAACACCAGUGGCGAAGGCGAGUCUCUGGACAUUUCCUGACGCUGAGACACGAAAGCCAGGGGAGCAAACGGG
This 253-nucleotide ribosomal RNA is filed under the name uncultured bacterium. RNAcentral's name for it is "partial 16S ribosomal RNA". It matches the Rfam family "Bacterial small subunit ribosomal RNA", at positions 524 to 776 of the family's 1533-position model. The record is from RNAcentral.